This 79-nucleotide transfer RNA is filed under the name Podarcis lilfordi (Lilford's wall lizard). RNAcentral describes it as "tRNA.Ile". It matches the Rfam family "tRNA". Rfam says of the family: Transfer RNA (tRNA) molecules are approximately 80 nucleotides in length. Their secondary structure includes four short double-helical elements and three loops (D, anti-codon, and T loops). The record is from RNAcentral. Lineage: Eukaryota; Metazoa; Chordata; Lepidosauria; Squamata; Lacertidae.
AUCUUGUUAGAAUAGCUCAGUUGGUUAGAGCGUGGUGCUGAUAACAUCAAGGUUGCAGGUUCGAUCCCCAUAUGGGACA